UUUGAUCCUGGCUCAGAUUGAACGCUGGCGGCAUGCUUUACACAUGCAAGUCGAACGGCAGCGCGGGGCAACCUGGCGGCGAGUGGCGAACGGGUGAGUAAUAUAUCGGAACGUACCCAGAAGUGGGGGAGUAACGUAGCGAAAGUUACGCUAAUACCGCAUACGAUCUACGGAUGAAAGUGGGGGACCUUCGGGCCUCAUGCUUGUGGAGCGGCCGAUAUCUGAUUAGCUAGUUGGUGAGGUAAAGGCUCACCAAGGCGACGAUCAGUAGCUGGUCUGAGAGGACGACCAGCCACACUGGGACUGAGACACGGCCCAGACUCCUACGGGAGGCAGCAGUGGGGAAUUUUGGACAAUGGGCGCAAGCCUGAUCCAGCAAUGCCGCGUGAGUGAAGAAGGCCUUCGGGUUGUAAAGCUCUUUCGUCAGGGAAGAAACGGCUCGGGCUAAUAUCCUGGGCUAAUGACGGUACCUGAAGAAUAAGCACCGGCUAACUACGUG
Molecule: ribosomal RNA, 499 nt
Filed under: uncultured Massilia sp.
Lineage: Bacteria; Pseudomonadati; Pseudomonadota; Betaproteobacteria; Burkholderiales; Oxalobacteraceae
Description: bacterial SSU rRNA
Rfam family: Bacterial small subunit ribosomal RNA
Source: RNAcentral